UUGGAAAAAGGCUUGGGGAAUGUGGCACUUUCGGGUGUGUUAUAGCCCUCUGUCGUAUGCAACGGUUGGGAUUGAGGACUGCAGCACGCCUUUAUGGCCGGGGUUCGCCCACGUACGUGCUUAGGAUGUUGGCAUAAUGGCUUUAAGCGA
This 150-nucleotide ribosomal RNA is filed under the name Tomentella sp. RNAcentral describes it as "partial large subunit ribosomal RNA". Lineage: Eukaryota; Fungi; Basidiomycota; Agaricomycetes; Thelephorales; Thelephoraceae. The record is from RNAcentral.